GACGAACGCUGGCGGCGUGCCUAAUACAUGCAAGUAGAACGCUGAAGAGAGGAGCUUGCUCUUCUUGGAUGAGUUGCGAACGGGUGAGUAACGCGUAGGUAACCUGCCUUGUAGCGGGGGAUAACUAUUGGAAACGAUAGCUAAUACCGCAUGACAUUGGAUGACACAUGUCAUUUAUUUGAAAGGGGCGAUUGCUCCACUACCAGAUGGACCUGCGUUGUAUUAGCUAGUAGGUGAGGUAACGGCUCACCUAGGCGACGAUACAUAGCCGACCUGAGAGGGUGAUCGGAUACGCUGGGACUGAAACGCGGCCCAGACUCCUACGGGAGGCAGCAGUAGGGAAUCUUCGGCUAUGGGGGCGACCCUGACCGAGCCACGCCGCGUGAGUGAAGAAAGUUUUCGGAUCGCAAAGCUCUGUUGUCAGUCAAGAACGAGUGUGAGAGUGGAAAAUUCGCACUGUGACGGUAUCUUACCAGAAAGGGACGGCUAACUACGUGCCCGCCGCCGCGGUAAUACGUAUGAUCCCGAGCGUUGUCCAGAUUUAUUGGGCGUAAAGCGAGCGCAGGCGGUUUGAUAAGUCUGAAGUUAAAGGCUGUGGCUCAACCAUAGUUCGCUUUGGAAACUGUCAAACUUGAGUGCAGAAGGGGAGAGUGGAAUUCCAUGUGUAGCGGUGAAAUGCGUAGAUAUAUGGAGGAACACCGGUGGCGAAAGCGGCUCUCUGGUCUGUAACUGACGCUGAGGCUCGAAAGCGUGGGGAGCGAACAGGAUUAGAUACCCUGGUAGUCCACGCCGUAAACGAUGAGUGCUAGGUGUUGGAUCCUUUCCGGGAUUCAGUGCCGCAGCUAACGCAUUAAGCACUCCGCCUGGGGAGUACGACCGCAAGGUUGAAACUCAAAGGAAUUGACGGGGGCCCGCACAAGCGGUGGAGCAUGUGGUUUAAUUCGAAGCAACGCGAAGAACCUUACCAGGUCUUGACAUCCCGAUGCUAUUUCUAGAGAUAGAAAGUUACUUCGGUACAUCGGUGACAGGUGGUGCAUGGUUGUCGUCAGCUCGUGUCGUGAGAUGUUGGGUUAAGUCCCGCAACGAGCGCAACCCCUAUUGUUAGUUGCCAUCAUUCAGUUGGGCACUCUAGCGAGACUGCCGGUAAUAAACCGGAGGAAGGUGGGGAUGACGUCAAAUCAUCAUGCCCCUUAUGACCUGGGCUACACACGUGCUACAAUGGUUGGUACAACAAGUUGCGAGUCGGUGACGGCAAGCUAAUCUCUUAAAGCCAAUCUCAGUUCGGAUUGUAGGCUGCAACUCGCCUACAUGAAGUCGGAAUCGCUAGUAAUCGCGGAUCAGCACGCCGCGGUGAAUACGUUCCCGGGCCU
RNAcentral lists this ribosomal RNA (1370 nucleotides) under uncultured bacterium. RNAcentral's name for it is "bacterial SSU rRNA". It matches the Rfam family "Bacterial small subunit ribosomal RNA", at positions 28 to 1381 of the family's 1533-position model. The record is from RNAcentral.